GGGAUAAAAGUCGUAACAAGGUCUCCGUUGGUGAACCAGCGGAGGGAUCAUUACUGAGUUAUCAAAACUCCAAACCCUUUGUGAACCUUACCAUCGUUGCCUCGGCGUGAGCUACGGCUACCCUGUAACUACCCUGGAGCUACCCUAGAGUUACCCUAUAGCUACCCUGCACUUACCCUGCAGCUACCCUAUAGCUACCCUGGAGCUACCCUGGAGCUACCCUGUAGUCGGCUUCGGCCCGCCGAAGGACCGUUAAACUCUUGUUUUUACCACUGUUUCUCUGAAUUUUAAACCAAAAUAAGUUAAAACUUUCAACAACGGAUCUCUUGGUUCUGGCAUCGAUGAAGAACGCAGCGAAAUGCGAUAAGUAAUGUGAAUUGCAGAAUUCAGUGAAUCAUCGAAUCUUUGAACGCACAUUGCGCCCAUUAGUAUUCUAGUGGGCAUGCCUAUUCGAGCGUCAUUUCGACCCCUAAGCCCCUGUUGCUUAGCGUUGGGAAUCUACGGCGUAGUUCCUCAAAGUUAGUGGCGGAGUUAGGGUACACUCUCAGCGUAGUAAUUUCUCUCGCUCGUGUGGUGGCCCUGGCUGCUAGCCGUUAAAACCCCUAUAUUUUCUAGUGGUUGACCUCGGAUUAGGUAGGAAUACCCGCUGAACUUAAGC
Molecule: ribosomal RNA, 658 nt
Filed under: fungal sp.
Lineage: Eukaryota; Fungi
Description: eukaryotic LSU rRNA
Rfam family: 5.8S ribosomal RNA (bases 307-460)
Source: RNAcentral